GCGGGAAUGGCGGAAUUGGCAGACGCGCUAGGUUGAGGGCCUAGUGACCGAUAAGGUCGUGCAGGUUCAAGUCCUGUUUCCCGCA
This 85-nucleotide transfer RNA is filed under the name Planctomycetota bacterium. Its description in RNAcentral is "tRNA-Leu". It matches the Rfam family "tRNA". Rfam says of the family: Transfer RNA (tRNA) molecules are approximately 80 nucleotides in length. Their secondary structure includes four short double-helical elements and three loops (D, anti-codon, and T loops). Lineage: Bacteria; Pseudomonadati; Planctomycetota. The record is from RNAcentral. RNAcentral also lists the same sequence under 3 other names.